GCCCCACUAGUCUGGGAUACCACUUGGAAACAAGGUGCUAAUACCGGAUAAGAAAGACGGAUCGCAUGAUCAGCUUUUAAAAGGCGGCGUAAGCUGUCGCUAUGGGAUGGCCCCGCGGUGCAUUAGCUAGUUGGUAAGGUAAAGGCUUACCAAGGCGAUGAUGCAUAGCCGAGUUGAGAGACUGAUCGGCCACAUUGGGACUGAGACACGGCCCAAACUCCUACGGGAGGCAGCAGGC
Molecule: ribosomal RNA, 238 nt
Filed under: uncultured Lactobacillus sp.
Lineage: Bacteria; Bacillati; Bacillota; Bacilli; Lactobacillales; Lactobacillaceae
Description: partial 16S ribosomal RNA
Rfam family: Bacterial small subunit ribosomal RNA
Source: RNAcentral